GUUCCAAAACAACAAACUAUAAGAUCUUAUGAAAUACAUCUGCUCCACCACUCUUGUAUGUCACCAAAGCUAUAACCAUGUUAAAACUUAAUAAAACUCACAAGAUUCUUGAGAAAAUAACCAUAACUAAGUUUCUUUCAUUCAUUUUGUCGUGGCAAAGACCAAAAAAGAGACAGCAAAAAAAGAGAACAGCAGCCAGCACGAUCAAUCUUCUUCAAUCAUCAUCGUCGUCGGUCACCUAAAAUGAAAAGAACAUCAGGAUUAUGAGUUCAAAUCAAAUCUAAUUUGAAUCUAUUGAUCUAAUGAGAAAUAAGAACAUGGUUUUAAGAAUAGAAAAGAUUAAAGAUAGAUGAUUACCAAGUGUCGAGGCCAUGCAAUGCAUGCUCCAAUUGCAUCUCCAAUUGUGGACAAGUUUGAAUAUGGUCUAAUCAAAUCUUCUUCCCAUUCUAUAGGAACUGAAACUUGAACUUCACACCAAUUUAAUCCUAGUCGUUUUCCUCCAACAUCGUGAUUGGGAUCU
Molecule: long non-coding RNA, 520 nt
Filed under: Salvia miltiorrhiza (redroot sage)
Lineage: Eukaryota; Viridiplantae; Streptophyta; Magnoliopsida; Lamiales; Lamiaceae
Description: long non-coding RNA (SMIL_LNC006006)
Source: RNAcentral